RNAcentral lists this microRNA precursor (325 nucleotides) under Chlamydomonas reinhardtii. Its description in RNAcentral is "miR1145 stem-loop (cre-MIR1145)". The record is from miRBase by way of RNAcentral. Lineage: Eukaryota; Viridiplantae; Chlorophyta; Chlorophyceae; Chlamydomonadales; Chlamydomonadaceae.
CCCAACGUGGAAGGGCAUGACCUCCUCCCUUCUGCAGACCUAGGUCAGAAGGACCAGGACCUGCUGGGCCCCAAGGUCAUGGUCGCAAUGCUGGUCAACGCCACCGAGAGGGUCAACACCACCCAGCAGCUCUGGGCGGACAUCAAGCAGAAGACGUCCUCCAGCGGGAGGCCGUCUUCUGCUUGAUGUCCGCCCACAGCUGCUGAUUGGCGUUGACCCUGUCGGUGGCCUUGACCAGCAUCGCGGCAAUGACCUUGGGGCCCAGCAGGUCCUGGUCCUUCUGACCAAGGUCUGCACAAGGGAGGAGGUCAUGAGUCCACGUGGG